UUCACUGGAAUUCCUGUGUUUCUCCUCACCUCUUGCUCUCAGUUUUCCCACGUGCCUCUGUCUCUGGAGUGGAGCCUGAUCUUCAUCAAUGGGCUGUGGGAGAAGAUGCUGCAGGUGCCAGACAUUGAGAGCCCUCCUGUUCUGUCUCAGUGGGUCCAUGGGGGACUUCAGCCCUUCCUGGAGGAGCCCAAGGUCUUUGGUUGCCUCCAUGGCAAAAACGUGUCCUGUGAGACCUUUCAGCUGCUAGUGGCUGCCCUGGAUGGACUAUACCCUGAGCUUCCAGAGGGAGAGCAGAGGAAUCUUUACAGUGGGAUCAAAUAUUAUCUCACCCAGAAUGAAUCCAACCAGAAAUGCUACAGUGAAGCCAUUCCAGGCCUGAAUUCCACUGCUUGGUUUAAAAACUACCUUGGAUCCUUUAUGGAGGAUGCCACAGUUGAGGACCUGCAGCUUUUUGCUGAUGAACCAACUCUUCAAAAAUUUGCCAGGGAUCCAGUCAAUAUGGAGAUGAUCAGCAACCUCACCUUGCUCCGGGAGACAGCUCUGUACUACACCUUCCUGCUGACCUCUGCUCCUGCUUUUCCACUGUCAAGCCUCCCAGACAGGUUUCUUUGCUCCCUGAGCCCCUCGGCAGUGACCAACCUGAGCAGGGACGACGCGCUGAGCUUGGCCCAGAGGAUCGGGGAGAGCUGCCCCUGGAUCCCGGCACGCAGAGGGAUUCCCGGAGAGAGAGCUCCCUCCUCCCUGCCGGCACAGGAGCUGCAGGUAACACAUCCCCUGCCCGGCCCCGGGGCUUCAUUCACCUGCACAAGCCUGGCAGGGCUGAGGGUCAGCU
RNAcentral lists this long non-coding RNA (832 nucleotides) under Manacus vitellinus (golden-collared manakin). Its description in RNAcentral is "lncRNA (ENSMVIG00005013516.1)". The record is from RNAcentral. Lineage: Eukaryota; Metazoa; Chordata; Aves; Passeriformes; Pipridae.